Molecule: ribosomal RNA, 406 nt
Filed under: uncultured bacterium
Lineage: Bacteria
Description: partial 16S ribosomal RNA
Rfam family: Bacterial small subunit ribosomal RNA
Source: RNAcentral
AUUGAACGCUGGCGGCAGGCCUAACACAUGCAAGUCGAGCGGGGGGCGGACGGGUGAGUAAUGUAUGGGGAACUGCCUGAUGGAGGGGGAUAACUACUGGAAACGGUGGCUAAUACCGCAUACUAUCGGAAGAACCCAUAUGGGAUUAGCUAGUGGGUGGGGUAACGGCUCACCUAGGCGACGAUCUCGAGCUGGUCUGAGAGGAUGAUCAUCCACACUGGGACUGAGACACGGCCCAGACUCCUACGGGAUGCAGCAGUGGGGAAUAUUGCACAAUGGGCGCAAUCCUGAUGCAGCCAUGCCGCGUGUAUGAAGAAGGCCUUAGGGUUGUAAAGUACUUUCAGCGGGGAGGCGUUACCCGCAGAAGAAGCACCGGCUAACUCCGUGCCAGCAGCCGCGGUAAUAC